RNAcentral lists this ribosomal RNA (108 nucleotides) under Pteropus alecto (black flying fox). The record is from RNAcentral. Lineage: Eukaryota; Metazoa; Chordata; Mammalia; Chiroptera; Pteropodidae.
AGGUGCUGCCCCGUGCCACCCUGAAUGUGCCCGAUCGCAUCAGAUCUCAGAAGCUAAGCAUGGUCGGGCCUGGCUAGUACUUGGAUGGGAGAAAAGGUGCUGCCCCUG